AGCAGUCGCCGCGGUAAUACGUAGGGUGCGAGCGUUAAUCGGAAUUACUGGGCGUAAAGCGAGCGCAGACGGUUAUUCAAGCAGGAUGUGAAAUCCCCGGGCUUAACCUGGGAACUGCGUUCUGAACUGGAUAGCUAGAGUGCGGCAGAGGGGGAUGGAAUUCCGCGUGUAGCAGUGAAAUGCGUAGAUAUGCGGAGGAACACCGAUGGCGAAGGCAAUCCCCUGGGCCUGCACUGACGCUCAUGCACGAAAGCGUGGGGAGCAAACAGGAUUAGAUACCCCUGUAGUCCCUGUCUCUUAUAC
This 303-nucleotide ribosomal RNA is filed under the name uncultured bacterium. RNAcentral describes it as "partial 16S ribosomal RNA". It matches the Rfam family "Bacterial small subunit ribosomal RNA", at positions 507 to 807 of the family's 1533-position model. The record is from RNAcentral.